UACGUAGGGUGCGAGCGUUAAUCGGAAUUACUGGGCGUAAAGCGUGCGCAGGCGGUUUUGUAAGCCAGAUGUGAAAUCCCCGGGCUCAACCUGGGAACUGCAUUUGUGACUGCAUGGCUGGAGUGCGGCAGAGGGGGAUGGAAUUCCGCGUGUAGCAGUGAAAUGCGUAGAUAUGCGGAGGAACACCGAUGGCGAAGGCAAUCCCCUGGGCCUGCACUGACGCUCAUGCACGAAAGCGUGGGGAGCAAACAGG
This 253-nucleotide ribosomal RNA is filed under the name uncultured bacterium. Its description in RNAcentral is "partial 16S ribosomal RNA". It matches the Rfam family "Bacterial small subunit ribosomal RNA", at positions 524 to 776 of the family's 1533-position model. The record is from RNAcentral.